RNAcentral lists this transfer RNA (64 nucleotides) under Curculionoidea sp. 1 KM-2017. Its description in RNAcentral is "tRNA-Leu". Lineage: Eukaryota; Metazoa; Arthropoda; Insecta; Coleoptera. The record is from RNAcentral.
AUUAUAUUGGCAGAUUAGUGCAAGGAAUUUAGAAUUCUUUUAAGUAAUAUUUUUACAUAUAAUA